Molecule: long non-coding RNA, 479 nt
Organism: Saccostrea cuccullata (small rock oyster)
Lineage: Eukaryota; Metazoa; Mollusca; Bivalvia; Ostreida; Ostreidae
Exons: 2
Source: RefSeq, a predicted model, not a curated record
AGUUGCUGCUGGUCGUGAAUGAAAUAUAUUUUUCACUCGGGAAGUGCUGCAUUUGAAAGAUAUCCUUAACUCAUACCUGUUAAAUUGACUAUACGGAACAAAUAUGAGGUGGAUUUCAAUGGUCUUGCUUUUCCAGCUUACGAUUUGUGUCAAAUCCCAGGAAUAUCCAUUCCAGUUAGGACCAAAUCUAAGAUUCAACUCUGAUGCAUACCAAGAAAAUAUGGCUUACAACGAUGUUUUCUCUAAUGAACCACCUACGCUGGAAUUCAAAAAAUCAAAUUUUCAAACAUCGGAAAAAAUGAAGCCUCAAAUUGAUGUAUUUACCCCACUUCGAAAGCUGCUAGAGGAACUACAAAAGAAGUAUCAAGAGAGAUAUAAUUUAUAGAAUUAAUAUAACUUUUUUAUUAUCCUCAAUUAAGUCUGUGCUUGCAACACACAUUUUAUUGGGAGUGUCUUUAGAAAAUGUGUAUUUUAAAGCU